AGUGAACGCUGGCGGUAGGCCUAACACAUGCAAGUCGAACGGCAGCACAGUAAGAGCUUGCUCUUACGGGUGGCGAGUGGCGGACGGGUGAGGAAUACAUCGGAAUCUACUUUUUCGUGGGGGAUAACGUAGGGAAACUUACGCUAAUACCGCAUACGACCUACGGGUGAAAGCAGGGGAUCUUCGGACCUUGCGCGAGUGAAUGAGCCGAUGUCGGAUUAGCUAGUUGGCGGGGUAAAGGCCCACCAAGGCGACGAUCCGUAGCUGGUCUGAGAGGAUGAUCAGCCACACUGGAACUGAGACACGGUCCAGACUCCUACGGGAGGCAGCAGUGGGGAAUAUUGGACAAUGGGCGCAAGCCUGAUCCAGCCGUACCGCGUGGGUGAAGAAGGCCUUCGGGUUGUAAAGCCCUUUUGUUGGGAAAGAAAAGCAGCAGGUUAAUACCCCGCUGUUCUGACGGUACCCAAAGAAUAAGCACCGGCUAACUUCGUG
RNAcentral lists this ribosomal RNA (492 nucleotides) under uncultured bacterium. RNAcentral's name for it is "partial 16S ribosomal RNA". It matches the Rfam family "Bacterial small subunit ribosomal RNA", at positions 29 to 507 of the family's 1533-position model. The record is from RNAcentral.